Molecule: transfer RNA, 56 nt
Filed under: Capsicum annuum
Lineage: Eukaryota; Viridiplantae; Streptophyta; Magnoliopsida; Solanales; Solanaceae
Rfam family: tRNA
About the family: Transfer RNA (tRNA) molecules are approximately 80 nucleotides in length.
Source: Rfam by way of RNAcentral
UGCCGGAGUGGUUAUCGGGCAUGAUUAGAAAUCAUGUGCGCAGGUUCGAAUCCUGU